This 31-nucleotide non-coding RNA is filed under the name Homo sapiens (human). The record is from RNAcentral. Lineage: Eukaryota; Metazoa; Chordata; Mammalia; Primates; Hominidae.
UCCAUGCCGCUAGCUGAGAUGAUGAUGUCUA